Molecule: long non-coding RNA, 368 nt
Organism: Morus notabilis
Lineage: Eukaryota; Viridiplantae; Streptophyta; Magnoliopsida; Rosales; Moraceae
Exons: 2
Source: RefSeq, a predicted model, not a curated record
AGAAAAAACGAUGGUCUUAACAUGAAGAAGAGAUCUUAAGGACUGCUGUUCAAUCGUUUGGUCCCAGGUGGAAGGACAUCUGGACUACCCACCAUGAUGAUUUUGGAGACAGGACUGCGGUAAGCAAAUGUUAUGUUGUCUUGUUUGUUUGCAAAUUGCAAUGCCAGCCAACUUAAUUCCUUGUCCAUCCGUGUCAAGGCAAUUGCUGUUGUUAAAAGUUGGAUUUUUCUUCACUCCCACUGGUCGAUUUGAAGGAUAAGUGGAGAAACAUGAACAAAAAUGUGCGUCAUUGAACUGAAGUAUAUAUGCAGCUUAGCUUUUUGUAUUUUGCUUGCUUGCAUAUAGUUAUAUGCUUUUGAUUGGUUCAA